This 392-nucleotide ribosomal RNA is filed under the name Thalassiosira sp. RNAcentral describes it as "partial small subunit ribosomal RNA". It matches the Rfam family "Eukaryotic small subunit ribosomal RNA", at positions 582 to 975 of the family's 1831-position model. Lineage: Eukaryota; Bacillariophyta; Thalassiosirophyceae; Thalassiosirales; Thalassiosiraceae. The record is from RNAcentral.
AUUCCAGCUCCAAUAGCGUAUAUUAAAGUUGUUGCAGUUAAAAAGCUCGUAGUUGGAUUUCUGGCAGGAGUGACCGGUCACGCACUCUGUGCGUGAACUUGUGUUGUCUCUGGCCAUCCUUGGGGAGAUCCUGUUUGGCAUUAAGUUGUCGGGCAGGGGAUACCCAUCGUUUACUGUGAAAAAAUUAGAGUGUUUAAAGCAGGCUUAUGCCGUUGAAUAUAUUAGCAUGGAAUAAUAAGAUAGGACUUCGGAACUAUUUUGUUGGUUUGCGUUACGAAGUAAUGAUUAAUAGGGACAGUUGGGGGUAUUCGUAUUUCGUUGUCAGAGGUGAAAUUCUUGGAUUUCCGAAAGACGAACUACUGCGAAAGCAUUUACCAAGGAUGUUUUCAUCA